GCGGCGGAUGGGUGAGUAACACGUGGGCAACCUGCCUGUAAGAUUGGGAUAACUUGCGGAAACGUGAGCUAAUACCAAAUAAAGCUUCAUAUCACCUGAUGUGAAGAUGAAAGAUGGCUCCGGCUAUCACUUACAGAUGGGCCCGUGGCGCAUUAACUAUUUGGUGGGAUAAAAGCUUACCAAGGCAACGAUGCGUAACCGACCUGAGAGGGUGAUCGGCCACACUGGGACUGAGACACGGCCCAGACUCCUACGGGAGGCAGCAGUAGGGAAUCUUCCGCAAUGGACGCACGUCUGACGGAUCAACGCCUCGUGAGUGAUGAAGGUUUUCGGAUCGUAAAACUCUGUUGUUAGGGAAGAACAAGUACCGUUCGAAUAGGUCGGUACCUUGACGGUACCUAACCAGAAAGCCCCGGCUAACUACGUGCCAGCAGCCGCGGUAAUACGUAGGGGGCAAGCGUUGUCCGGAAUUAUUGGCCGUAAAGCGCGCGCAGGCGGUCCUUUAAGUCUGAUGUGACAGCCCACG
RNAcentral lists this ribosomal RNA (526 nucleotides) under uncultured bacterium. RNAcentral describes it as "bacterial SSU rRNA". It matches the Rfam family "Bacterial small subunit ribosomal RNA", at positions 95 to 606 of the family's 1533-position model. The record is from RNAcentral.